Molecule: non-coding RNA, 1468 nt
Organism: Microcebus murinus (gray mouse lemur)
Lineage: Eukaryota; Metazoa; Chordata; Mammalia; Primates; Cheirogaleidae
Source: RefSeq, a predicted model, not a curated record
UCAACUCACUGGUACUCAAGGAAGAGGAAGAGAAGACAGGGAAGUCUCUGUAUUGCCUUUGACCAAAGAACUGAGGUCGUACUGGAAAGAGUUUAUAAAAACAAAUCCCUUUUGAGUUGCUCCUGUCUCAGAAGACAACAGCUUAUCCAUGAGAAAGGAUAAACUCUCUCCUGUGGCUGAUAUUUAUGGGAAUGCAAGCUGACAGAUACAUGAAUUGCACUUUGGAAGAACUUCCUCCAACCUCAAUCACUUUCAGCUCCGUUCUGUCCCUGAGGGAGCCAGCGAGACCUUGCCCUUCGUGGCCUUUAUUCGGAACAAGCCAACAUUGACUGGAUCACAUGGACUGAAGAUUACAGAACAAAAACAGAAUAAGGAGAAAGAAGAUUCAGGAAAGAAUAAGUCCAGAAAAUGGGAGUUACAUUUCACUUUCCAAAGGGAAGAGGCAGAAGAGAAAUAAAGAAGAUAGUCCUGCUUUAUGUUAUACAGCUCUAGGUAGGCAACUACAGAAAGAAUGAAAGAAAUUCUUCAAUGUAAGGUGGUUCCACCUUUUGUCAAGAUGUGACCAGCUGGAAAACUCAAAACAUUUUGAGGAGAUGCUCUCUGCCACAGGGAUUACCGCAAUACAUGUAGGAUCAAAGAAAAGUCCACAUUUUACCCUGGUGAUUAGCUGUAAUUAAAUAAAGUAAGUCUUUUUAAACUUCAUUAGCAGCAAGACGUUUGCUACAGCAGAGUGGGCACAAAUCAUCCAUUCUUAAUUAAAAGAUAAUCCACAGGAUGGCCAUAAUCUUCUUCUAAAAAUACACCAUUUCCCCCUGAAAGAUUUUCUCAUCAAAUAAGGAUAAAUAACAGUUUCUAUGAGUUGAAGUCAUGAAGGAAUGGUUGCUCCUCCUGUUUGCUUGAGUGAGUGCUGAAUGUGGCUGAUAACAUCACUUUGGCAUGCUAUUAUCUAAAAUGGUAGAAUACCUCACUUCAGCAAAGUCUGACAUAAAUCUUUGAAAACAAAGACAUUGCAUAUGUAUGAGCUGAAAUAGAUAUGACAGUGUUGGCACAUUAAUAUUCCUGUCACUAGGGGGUUUCAAACUUUUAAGGAGAGGAUAGGAAUGAAUUCAGACUAUAGCUGGUGAAAUAGGGCAACGUAUAGUAGGACAAUUAGGCAUUGCUAACAGUAAUAAAAUAUGUACAGAGAAAGGGUUCUCCUGCUCCCUGCCUUUGGUAAAAAAUGACUGUAGGAUCGUCUCUUGGGAAUGCCAAGAAUAAUUAAUUUGGCUUAGAGAUUUGCAUGGUUGUUCUAAGCAUACUAAUAAGAAUAUUCCGUAAAGACCAGUCCCAAUCAAUAGAAGAGAGAACUGCUUUUUCUUGUGUAGCCACUGUGGUGGUUCAUGGGUAACAGAUGUUUCCACUUAUUCCACAACAACCCUCAUUAAAAGUAACCGUGGGUCCUAAUUGAAUAGUUCUCCACAUAGUUGGA